Molecule: ribosomal RNA, 120 nt
Filed under: Schizosaccharomyces cryophilus OY26
Lineage: Eukaryota; Fungi; Ascomycota; Schizosaccharomycetes; Schizosaccharomycetales; Schizosaccharomycetaceae
Source: RNAcentral
GUUAACGGCCAUACCUAGGCGAAAACACCAGUUCCCGUCCGAUCACUGCAGUUAAGUGAAAACGUUUGAGGGUCCCGUAGGUGGUUGGAGACAACAUGGGAAUCCGGGGUGCUGUAGGCU